This is a small nucleolar RNA of 91 nucleotides. It matches the Rfam family "Small nucleolar RNA snR60/Z15/Z230/Z193/J17". Rfam says of the family: The members of this family belong to the C/D class of snoRNAs which contain the C (UGAUGA) and D (CUGA) box motifs. The record is from Rfam.
GUAAGAUGUAAUGAUGAGUACAUAGUUCAACUGAUAAUUCUGUGAGUUAUUAACAAAAAAAUAGUCUUUCUACCCCUAUCUGACAAUUUUU